Molecule: long non-coding RNA, 630 nt
Organism: Acinonyx jubatus (cheetah)
Lineage: Eukaryota; Metazoa; Chordata; Mammalia; Carnivora; Felidae
Exons: 3
Source: RefSeq, a predicted model, not a curated record
CAUUGCUUCAAAUUAUUCCUCAUACUUGGAGUAUUUAUACCAUGGAAAUCUGUAAAUGCUAAAAGCAAAAUAAAGGACACUUUUUUUUUGUUUCUAGAAAGCCAAUUGUUGAAUAUUUGCCAGCACAUCACUCCAAAUAACAUUUGUCUAUUACACCUCACUUGUUGGAAGUGUGAAUGCAGGUGGCUGCUGCUGGAUAUGGGAGCCUCUCAUACCAUGACCCAAACACCCCUCAUCCUCACCAGCUCUGACAUGAGCAGAAAGACAACUGUGGCUUAGCCUGGCCAACUGAAUGCUGCCGUAGGACUUGGGACUCUUAGAUGAGAAAUACAAAGAUAGAAAGAAUGGUUGAAACAUUGUAUAUGUGCUCUUUAAACAGGGGUAAGCUGAACACAGUAAGGAAGAUUUAGAGCAGCUGGUAACAAUGAACUAUAUCCUCUCCUUUAGAGCCUAGAAGACACUAAGAUGGUACAAUAAUUAUUGGGGAAUUCAACAUCUCCAACUCAAUGUGUCCAAGAGCAAACCUGAGGACUUUCCACAAGUGCCUCCUCAUCUUUCGUUGUUUUCUACUUUAAUAAACUCAUUAGACCAAAAAUGUAUGGGUCACUUCCUUUACUCACUCACCUUUGA